GGUCAGUAACACGUGGCUAACUUACCCAUAGGACGGGAACAACCCCGGGAAACUGGGGCUAAUACCCGAUAGAUGAGGAGGCCUGGAAUGGUUCCUAGUCGAAAAGGCGUUGAAGCCAUGCUUUUCGACGUCGCCUAAGGAUGGGGCCGCGCCCGAUCAGGUUGUUGGUGGGGUAACGGCUCACCAAGCCUAUAACCGGUACGGGCCGUGAGAGCGGGAGCCCGGAGAUGGGCACUGAGACAAGGGCCCAGGCCCUACGGGGCGCAGCAGUCGCGAAAACUCCGCAAUGCGCGAAAGCGUGACGGGGCUACCCCGAGUGCCGUCCGCUGAGGAUGGCUUUUCCCCGGUGUAAUGAGCCGGGGGAAUAAGGAGAGGGCAAGUCUGGUGUCAGCCGCCGCGGUAAUACCAGCUCUCCGAGUGGUAGGGAUGAUUAUUGGGCUUAAAGCGUCCGUAGCCGGCUCAGCAAGUCUCCUGUUAAAUUCAGCGACCUAAUCGUUGAGCCGCGGGAGACACUAUUAGGCUAGGAGGCGGGAGAGGCCGACGGUAUUCUCGGGGUAGGGGUGAAACCC
RNAcentral lists this ribosomal RNA (569 nucleotides) under uncultured archaeon. RNAcentral's name for it is "bacterial SSU rRNA". It matches the Rfam family "Archaeal small subunit ribosomal RNA", at positions 88 to 640 of the family's 1478-position model. The record is from RNAcentral.